RNAcentral lists this non-coding RNA (157 nucleotides) under Rhodospirillaceae bacterium. Its description in RNAcentral is "6S RNA". It matches the Rfam family "6S / SsrS RNA". Rfam says of the family: E. coli 6S RNA was the first non coding RNA to be sequenced, but its function was unknown until recently. It consists of 184 nucleotides that fold into an extended hairpin structure with a large single-stranded internal bulge. The 6S RNA specifically associates with RNA polymerase holoenzyme containing the sigma70 specificity factor. The record is from RNAcentral. Lineage: Bacteria; Pseudomonadati; Pseudomonadota; Alphaproteobacteria; Rhodospirillales; Rhodospirillaceae.
GGAUGUCUGCCCGGUGCGUGAACCUCAUUAUUCCCUGGGGCCAAUGCACAUUACUAGGGAGCUGUCCCUGGCGGGGGUGUGCCCUCGUCAUCACGGCGCCCACCUGCGAAAGCAGGCCACGGUGGAAUGUGUAACGGUUGACGGCCACGGUGGUGCC